UUGAAAUGAUCUGAGCUAAGUCCGAGAGAAAUCUUUAGCACCGAGUGGGAGGUAUAAAGCGACCUUACUUCCCUAGAACUACGUGCCCCCGUAGGAGUGAGCCUGAGGCUGAUUUAUAUAGUGAUCACUAGUUUGUGUGGAUUUGAUAUCGAUAGUCCUACUCCGAUGGCAAGGAUAGGAUGGCUCUCCCCAAUGUGGG
RNAcentral lists this long non-coding RNA (199 nucleotides) under Capsicum annuum. RNAcentral describes it as "long non-coding RNA (CANN_LNC006308)". The record is from RNAcentral. Lineage: Eukaryota; Viridiplantae; Streptophyta; Magnoliopsida; Solanales; Solanaceae.